This 115-nucleotide small RNA is filed under the name uncultured Ligilactobacillus sp. Its description in RNAcentral is "Ribosomal protein L10 leader". It matches the Rfam family "Ribosomal protein L10 leader". Rfam says of the family: This family is a putative r-protein leader autoregulatory structure found in B. subtilis and other low-GC Gram-positive bacteria. Lineage: Bacteria; Bacillati; Bacillota; Bacilli; Lactobacillales; Lactobacillaceae. The record is from RNAcentral.
UUUUUAUAUGAUUCUACCUAAGACUCAGGUGGCACAUCGCCUUAAUAUCCUGCCGAGGAGUAUUGAUACUAAUUCUCUCUCUGUGUCUUGGUGGACAUAGGGUUUUUUUUAUUUA